CCCAACUUCUGAAUGUUGACCUCGGAUCAGGUAGGAAUACCCGCUGAACUUAAGCAUAUCAAUAAGCGGAGGAAAAGAAACCAACAGGGAUUGCCCUAGUAACGGCGAGUGAAGCGGCAACAGCUCAAAUUUGAAAUCUGGCUCUCGGGCCCGAGUUGUAAUUUGUAGAGGAUACUUUUGAUGCGGUGCCUUCCGAGUUCCCUGGAACGGGACGCCAUAGAGGGUGAGAGCCCCGUCUGGUUGGAUGCCAAAUCUCUGUAAAGUUCCUUCAACGAGUCGAGUAGUUUGGGAAUGCUGCUCUAAAUGGGAGGUAUAUGUCUUCUAAAGCUAAAUACCGGCCAGAGACCGAUAGCGCACAAGUAGAGUGAUCGAAAGAUGAAAAGCACUUUGAAAAGAGAGUUAAAAAGUACGUGAAAUUGUUGAAAGGGAAGCGUUUAUGACCAGACUUGGGCUUGGUUAAUCAUCUGGGGUUCUCCCCAGUGCACUUUUCCAGUCCAGGCCAGCAUCAGUUUUCCCCGGGGGAUAAAGGCGGCGGGAAUGUGGCUCUCUUCGGGGAGUGUUAUAGCCCACCGUGUAAUACCCUGGGGGGGACU
This 593-nucleotide ribosomal RNA is filed under the name Fusarium oxysporum. RNAcentral's name for it is "eukaryotic LSU rRNA". It matches the Rfam family "Eukaryotic large subunit ribosomal RNA", at positions 1 to 589 of the family's 3401-position model. The record is from RNAcentral. Lineage: Eukaryota; Fungi; Ascomycota; Sordariomycetes; Hypocreales; Nectriaceae.